Molecule: long non-coding RNA, 444 nt
Filed under: Brassica rapa (field mustard)
Lineage: Eukaryota; Viridiplantae; Streptophyta; Magnoliopsida; Brassicales; Brassicaceae
Description: long non-coding RNA (BRAP_LNC001012)
Source: RNAcentral
GUUGUUGAACCAAAACUUACCGCAAAUGUACCGUAUAAUCAAUGAAAGAACGAAGAGAUGAUUAGCCCUUGCAGCCGCCAUGAAAUCUGUGGAGUUUUUAGUUCUGCUUGCUGUUCUAACCUCAGGUAUAGGCAUUCUGAUUUAAUCUCAUUGGUCUUCUCUGUUUUCCAGAAACCCAUACCUUUGCCAUCAAUCGAUCUGAUCUCCUUUUCUUUAUGUUGUUGUUUCUCAUCUUCAGAGUUUAUGCAAGAAGUCAGCUGAUAUGAUAGAAUUGAAGAUUGGUGACACGGUAUGCUAAAAAAGCUCUUUUGUGUCGUUAAAUUUUGGAGGCAACUGGUAUCAACUUCCAUGGUUAACUUGAUCUCUCAAUCUGCGUGAUUGGAAGGUGACUCAGUAAUGAAAUAUUCAUUUUUACAAUUCAAGCCUCGGAAAUGUGAUGUUCAG